UGUUGCGUUCCUAAACUGUAUGAGUCUCUUAUCUCUAUAUAUCUCACACAUAUAACAUGUGAGUCGAAUUCUUUUUUUUUUUUUAUUAACCUCAGGAGGAGUACCAUCUAGCGAUUAUAACUACACCAAUAGCUCUUAUCAAGUCUCCCUUUUCUCUCUUCAUCUUCAAAUCACGGUUCCAUUAUCCAUGUUCAAGUGAGUUAAUUAUAUAAUAAAGUGGGUUAAUUUUUGUUUUUAAGUUGUAGAGGAAGGAAGCAACGGAAAAGGUAUAAAAUAAAAUAAAAAGCUUCUUUGAUUUUCUCUUAUAUAUGUUAACUGCUUCUGUUUUCUAAGGUUUUUUGUCUCACCUAUUCGGUUUUCAGAAAAACUGUCUCUUUUGUUUUGGUCAAGGAUCUUUGGGAUUUCUCAAAAAGGUAUUGAUAAUUAAGAAGCAAAGGUACGUAUAUUAGGUAAGAAAUUAGAAGAUUUUAUGAUGUAUAGGAUAACCAAUGGAUUUUUAUUUGAAGAAUUAAAGUUUUGGAAAUAAUUUAGAGGAUGUGAAAUCCGGUGACCAGGUUAUUUUGAAGCUGUUCACUUUGAUGUCAAGUUCGUAUGCUGGUGUUCCUCCGGUGCUGGAAGACACCAUGGAUCAGCCUGGAUAUGAAUCUCCACGAUCUUCUUUUGGAUAUGUCCACUUCGUUGUUUCGUUGAUCAUCGCCAUGUUCUAGCAAACAUGUCAUCGGGUGAAUACGAAAGAGUAGGUUGGAUGUGUGUAAACCCUAAGUUUUUAUGAACCGGUUGGAUAGGAAGCACUCGAAUCCCAAAAGUUCAGUAGAUGUUAAAGGAUUUCUUCGAUGGCAAGGAACCCAACAAAGGAACUAACCCUGAUGAGGUUUUGGCCUAUACAACCGCCGUCCAAGGUGGAGUAUUAAGUGGUGAAGGUGGAGAAGAAACGCAAAGUAAGUGACUCUUUUUAACUCUCUUUAUGACAAUAGUUUAGACCAUCUAUAGUGU
This is a long non-coding RNA of Arabidopsis lyrata subsp. lyrata, 993 nucleotides long. RefSeq lists it as uncharacterized. The record is from RefSeq and is a predicted model, not a curated record. The transcript has 3 exons. Lineage: Eukaryota; Viridiplantae; Streptophyta; Magnoliopsida; Brassicales; Brassicaceae.